UGAAUUGUGUUGUGGUGAAUAUUCAUUCAUAAUUUUCUUUCUUUUCCGUCCUGGGCACAGGUUCCCUUGUGAGAAGAAUACACUGACUUUGGAGUUGCCCAAGUGGCUUGCUAUCACAUACAAAGAGGAGAGAAGCCAUGGUAUGUGAGGUCCAAGAAAAUGCCUUCAGCCAUCUUGCACUUCUGCUCUCCACAAUGAGUAGAUUGUGCCUGUGGUAGGCAUUGUUUUUCAUCCUGAAUCCUGGAUACAGAGACUCAUGGAGUAGAUUGGAACCCAGACUGUAAACUGGCGUGAAGAGCAACUCAAUUGGCCAGUACACUGCCACCGAAGUUGUGAAAGACAUCCUCUGCUCUUCUCUCCCCUUCUGACAGGUAUUAUCUUAAAGCUCCAUUCUUUUAUUUCCUUUGGAGCCCAUAACGUCUCAAAACUUUCUUUGGCUGCAUUCUACUAAGAAUAGUAGUUACCCUCAGCUUGCACUAUAUAAUUUGUCCUCUUGCAUUUGUGUUGUAAGUUAACAUUAACCUAUCUGAUGGAUAUUUGAGGACUUUCAGAAAAUAAGUGGUCACAAAUACUGGCUCAUCUUUGGUUGGCAGGAAGAAACAGAAAAUUAAGGAAUAGUCGGUGCUGGAUCUUGAAAGUCCACAUUCCUUAUCAAUAUAGAGGGACUCCUAAUUCAUAGAGUUUGUCAGGAAGGUCUUAGGACCUCUUGACAAGAAAUAAUUGCAUCAUCUAACUUUAAAAAGUCACUACUUUUCACAGGCAAAUUUAAUGAAGAAAAAUCUUAUCAUGUUUUGGUGAUAAGUCCUCAAAGAUACAUAGAUGUCAGCUAUUUAACAUUAGCCUAAAGGUAUAAAAAUCUGAGUCCAAACUGG
This 872-nucleotide long non-coding RNA is filed under the name Canis lupus familiaris (dog). RNAcentral describes it as "lncRNA (ENSCAFG00030009996.1)". Lineage: Eukaryota; Metazoa; Chordata; Mammalia; Carnivora; Canidae. The record is from RNAcentral.